CCUACGGGGGGCAGCAGUGGGGAAUAUUGGACAAUGGGGGCAACCCUGAUCCAGCCAUGCCGCGUGUGUGAAGAAGGCCCUCGGGUUGUAAAGCACUUUCAGUGAGGAAGAACGCCUGGUGGUUAAUACCCAUCAGGAAAGACAUCACUCACAGAAGAAGCACCGGCUAACUCCGUGCCUGCAGCCGCGGUAAUACGGAGGGUGCGAGCGUUAAUCGGAAUUACUGGGCGUAAAGCGCGCGUAGGUGGCUUGAUAAGCCGGUUGUGAAAGCCCCGGGCUCAACCUGGGAACGGCAUCCGGAACUGUCAAGCUAGAGUGCAGGAGAGGAAGGUAGAAUUCCCGGUGUAGCGGUGAAAUGCGUAGAGAUCGGGAGGAAUACCAGUGGCGAAGGCGGCCUUCUGGACUGACACUGACACUGAGGUGCGAAAGCGUGGGUAGCAAACAGGAUUAGAUACCCGUGUAGUC
RNAcentral lists this ribosomal RNA (465 nucleotides) under Vreelandella stevensii. RNAcentral's name for it is "partial 16S ribosomal RNA". It matches the Rfam family "Bacterial small subunit ribosomal RNA", at positions 338 to 795 of the family's 1533-position model. Lineage: Bacteria; Pseudomonadati; Pseudomonadota; Gammaproteobacteria; Oceanospirillales; Halomonadaceae. The record is from RNAcentral.